AUGCAGAUCACGUGAGAAUUAAUUUUCCCCGUGACGUCAUAAUGGCGGGAAAGUAAUGGCUGGCCUUGUGUUGCUUUUUGUGCAAUUGAUAUGAUGCUGGAUGGUUUAUAGUUCUAUAUAACAGCCUCAAACUGAAAGCAAGGAUGUGUAGAAUCAUUAGUGAAACAGACCAGAACAGUUCAAUAUUAGUGAUGCAAUUGGCCAAUCAAUAGAUGAUCUUGUAUGCAAAGAUUUGUUUUGAUACUGUUGUCGCAAACGACAGGGGCAUCCAUUAUAGUCCAGGCUCAGAAUCAUUAGUAAGUCAUUCUACUUUAAUGAAGUGGUCUGAAAUAUUUAUAGAGCGUGAUUGUACACCAGUCAUUGCUUCAUAUUUUGUGCUGAGGACUUUCAGAUAUCACAGCAUCCUGAUUUCUGGCUGGAACAACUUUAAACUUC
Long non-coding RNA from Amphimedon queenslandica, 435 nucleotides. RefSeq lists it as uncharacterized. The transcript has 3 exons. The record is from RefSeq and is a predicted model, not a curated record. Lineage: Eukaryota; Metazoa; Porifera; Demospongiae; Haplosclerida; Niphatidae.